This 460-nucleotide ribosomal RNA is filed under the name uncultured bacterium. RNAcentral's name for it is "partial 16S ribosomal RNA". It matches the Rfam family "Bacterial small subunit ribosomal RNA", at positions 338 to 795 of the family's 1533-position model. The record is from RNAcentral.
CCUACGGGAGGCAGCAGUGAGGAAUAUUGGUCAAUGGACGCAAGUCUGAACCAGCCAUGCCGCGUGCAGGAAGACGGCUCUAUGAGUUGUAAACUGCUUUUGUACGAGGGUAAACUCAGAUACGCGUAUCUGUCUGAAAGUAUCUUACGAAUAAGGAUCGGCUAACUCCGUGCCAGCAGCCGCGGUAAUACGGAGGAUUCAAGCGUUAUCCGGAUUUAUUGGGUUUAAAGGGUGCGUAGGCGGUCGGGUAAGUUAGAGGUGAAAUCCCGAGGCUCAGCUUCGGAAUUGCCUCUGAUACUGUUCGGCUAGAGAGUAGUUGCGGUAGGCGGAAUGUAUGGUGUAGCGGUGAAAUGCUUAGAGAUCAUACAGAACACCGAUUGCGAAGGCAGCUUACCAAGCUACUUCUGACGUUGAGGCACGAAAGCGUGGGGAGCGAACAGGAUUAGAUACCCCAGUAGUC